Molecule: ribosomal RNA, 952 nt
Filed under: uncultured bacterium
Lineage: Bacteria
Description: bacterial SSU rRNA
Rfam family: Bacterial small subunit ribosomal RNA
Source: RNAcentral
AGAGUUUGAUCAUGGCUCAGAUUGAACGCUGGCGGCAUGCUUUACACAUGCAAGUCGAACGGCAGCGCGGGGGCAACCCUGGCGGCGAGUGGCGAACGGGUGAGUAAUGCAUCGGAACGUAUCCUGUAGUGGGGGAUAACGUAGCGAAAGUUACGCUAAUACCGCAUACGCUCGAGAGAGGAAAGUGGGGGAUCGCAAGACCUCACGUUAUAGGAGCGGCCGAUGUCCGAUUAGCUAGUUGGUGGGGUAAAGGCCUACCAAGGCGACGAUCGGUAGCUGGUCUGAGAGGAUGAUCAGCCACACUGGGACUGAGACACGGCCCACACUCCUACGGGAGGCAGCAGUGGGGAAUUUUGGACAAUGGGCGAAAGCCUGAUCCAGCCAUGCCGCGUGCGGAAAGAAGGCCUUCGGGUUGUAAACCGCUUUAGUCCGAGAAAAAGGGGUGCGAGGAUAAUACCCUCGUGCUUUGAUGGUACUGAAAGAAUAAGCACCGGCUAACUACGUGCCAGCAGCCGCGGUAAUACGUAGGGUGCGAGCGUUAAUCGGAAUUACUGGGCGUAAAGCGUGCGCAGGCUGUCUUGUAAGACAGUCGUGAAAGCCCCGGGCUUAACCUGAGAACUGCGAUUGUGACUGCAAGGCUAGAGUGUGUCAGAAGGGGGGGUGGAAUUUCCACGUGUAGCAGUGAAAUGCGUAGAGAUGGGGAGGAACCACCGGAUGGCGACGCACCCCCCUGAGAUUACACUGACGCUCAUGCACGAAGCGUGGGGAGCAACAGGAUUAGAUACCCUGUAGUCCACGCCCUAACGAUGUCUACUUGGUUUGUUGUGAGAAGGGUUAAUCUUUUAGUACCGAGCCUACGCGUGUGGUCGACCGGCUGGGGGGAGUACGGUCGCAGAUCAACCAGUAUCGACGGACCGUAACGGGGGAGAGAUAGAGUGGUUUUAAAUUGCGG